CCCUGAUGCAGCCGAUGCCCGCGUGAACGAUGAAGGCCUUCGGGUCGUAAAGUUCUGUUGUAAGGGAAGAACAAGUGCCGCAGGCAAUGGCGGCACCUUGACGGUACCUUGCGAGAAAGCCACGGCUAACUACGUGCCAGCAGCCGCGGUAAUACGUAGGUGGCAAGCGUUGUCCGGAAUUAUUGGGCGUAAAGCGCGCGCAGGCGGCCUCUUAAGUCUGAUGUGAAAGCCCCCCGGCUCAACCGGGGAGGGCCAUUGGAAACUGGGAGGCUUGAGUAUAGGAGAGAAGAGUGGAAUUCCACGUGUAGCGGUGAAAUGCGUAGAGAUGUGGAGGAACACCAGUGGCGAAGGCGACUCUUUGGCCUAUAACUGACGCUCGAGGCGCGAAAGCGUGGGGACGCAAACAGGAUUAGACUACCCUGGUAG
This 426-nucleotide ribosomal RNA is filed under the name uncultured bacterium. Its description in RNAcentral is "bacterial SSU rRNA". It matches the Rfam family "Bacterial small subunit ribosomal RNA", at positions 381 to 793 of the family's 1533-position model. The record is from RNAcentral.